Molecule: ribosomal RNA, 301 nt
Filed under: uncultured bacterium
Lineage: Bacteria
Description: partial 16S ribosomal RNA
Rfam family: Bacterial small subunit ribosomal RNA
Source: RNAcentral
CAGCCGCCGCGGUAAUACGUAGGGUGCAAGCGUUAAUCGGAAUUACUGGGCGUAAAGCGUGCGCAGGCGGUUAUAUAAGACAGAUGUGAAAUCCCCGGGCUCAACCUGGGAACUGCAUUUGUGACUGUAUAGCUAGAGUACGGCAGAGGGGGAUGGAAUUCCGCGUGUAGCAGUGAAAUGCGUAGAUAUGCGGAGGAACACCGAUGGCGAAGGCAAUCCCCUGGGCCUGUACUGACGCUCAUGCACGAAAGCGUGGGGAGCAAACAGGAUUAGAUACCCCCGUAGUCCCUGUCUCUUAUAU